This 802-nucleotide unclassified non-coding RNA is filed under the name Hevea brasiliensis (rubber tree). Lineage: Eukaryota; Viridiplantae; Streptophyta; Magnoliopsida; Malpighiales; Euphorbiaceae. The record is from RNAcentral.
GGACAGUUGUUGAAAUUUAUCCACUAUACUAAUAGCAGAUUUGUUGUCGCAAAACAAAGACAAAUUGUUUGUUUCUAAUAAUCGCAUUUUCUCCAUCAAUUCCCGCAACCACAAUAGCUCAUACAUAUCCUGUGCUAUGGCUCUAUAUUCUGCCUCUAUAGAAGAUCUUGCUGUCACAUUCUGCUUCUUACUUCUUUAGGUAACUAGAUUAUCACCAAUAAAAGUACAAUAUCCUGAUGUUGAUCUUUUAUCAUUAAGAGAUCCAGCCCAAUCUGCAUCUAUAAAGGCUUUUAUUUGGAGAUAAACCAUUCUUUGAAAAAAGAGGUCUCUUUCCUGGUGCAGAUUUUAAAUACCUUAAGAUGUAGAAGGCAGCCUCUAAGCAAGGUUUUCGAGGAUCAUGCAUGUACUGGCUCACUAAACUUACAGCAUAUGCUAUGUCUGGUCUAGUAUGAGAGAGAGAAAUCAAUCUCCCAACUAACCUCUAAUAUCUCCCUAAGUUAACUGAUUCCCCAACUCUUACUUGCUAUCUAUAAUUAGUUUCAAUAAGCGAUUUUGCAGGUUUAUAGCUCAACAUUCUUGUUUCUUUUAAGAGGUUUAAAAUAUAAUUCCUUUGAGAAAUAAUAAUUCCUUUAUCUAAUCGAGCAACCUCUAUCCCAAGGAACUAUCUUAAUAUACUCAAAUCUUUAAUCUCAAACUCUUGAGCCAAGAGUUUCUUCAGAUGAGUAAUUUCCUCCUUAUCAUCUUUUGUUACAACUAUGUCAUCAACAUAAAUAAUAAGCAAGGUGAUCUUACCUCUACAGUG